AACAAGACAGAAGAUAGUCAAUCUUACUGUCGUGCAUACCUAAAGCGGGUCUGCCGCCUUCGUUUCUCUUUCUUCGCGAAUGACUAACCUCCCUUUGGCUAAGCCCACAAGGCGUGCCUUGCCGGUGCAAUUGGUGCCAGCAGGGUUCGGUUUAGGGCUUGUAGCUCAGUUGGUUAGAGCGCGCGCUUGAUAAGCGUGAGGUCGGAGGUUCAAGUCCUCCCAGGCCCACCAUUUCCUCCGCCCGCAUGAUCCCAGAAAGUUGCAGACUUUUUGGAUAAGGUUAUGCGUUUGGGACAUGAAGGUUAUCAGGGGCCGUAGCUCAGCUGGGAGAGCGCCUGCUUUGCAAGCAGGAUGUCGUCGGUUCGAUCCCGUCCGGCUCCACCAACCGUCUUCUUUGAAGAUGGGGCGUGUCGAGUAGAGAUGGUUGCCGGUGGUUGGUCAUUCGAAAAUGAGUUUGCGCCGAGCCUAGUGCUCUGCGCCUGUUCUGUUUGACAUCGUAAAGAGAAGAUUUGUUCGAACUUCAUGAGCCGCAAGGUUUCAUGAUUUGUCGCAAGAGACGCUCAAUCUCUUGCAUAUGAUGGGUAAGCCUAACCGCGCCCUCGAACCGAUCUCGAGAAGCUGGUCUUUUUGUG
This 632-nucleotide unclassified non-coding RNA is filed under the name Mesorhizobium sp. RNAcentral describes it as "partial 16S-23S ribosomal RNA intergenic spacer". The stretch from base 155 to 228 matches the Rfam family "tRNA". Lineage: Bacteria; Pseudomonadati; Pseudomonadota; Alphaproteobacteria; Hyphomicrobiales; Phyllobacteriaceae. The record is from RNAcentral.